RNAcentral lists this ribosomal RNA (261 nucleotides) under uncultured eukaryote. RNAcentral describes it as "partial 18S rRNA". It matches the Rfam family "Eukaryotic small subunit ribosomal RNA", at positions 324 to 584 of the family's 1831-position model. The record is from RNAcentral.
GAUGGUAGUGUAUUGGACUACCAUGGCUUUAACGGGUAACGGAGGAUUAGGGUUCGAUUCCGGAGAGGGAGCCUGAGAAACGGCUACCACAUCUAAGGAAGGCAGCAGGCGCGUAAAUUACCCAAUCCCAAUUCGGGGAGGUAGUGACAAGAAAUAACAACCUGGGGGACUCUGUCCUUACGGGAUUGCAAUGAGAACAAUUUAAACGACUUAUCGAGGAACAAUUGGAGGGCAAGUCUGGUGCCAGCAGCCGCGGUAAUA